Molecule: transfer RNA, 71 nt
Filed under: Marmota monax (woodchuck)
Lineage: Eukaryota; Metazoa; Chordata; Mammalia; Rodentia; Sciuridae
Description: tRNA.Ala
Source: RNAcentral
GGAGUUGUGUCUCAGUGGUAGACCACUUGCCUAGCAUGUAUGAGGCACUGAAUUCAAUUCUCAGCACUGCA